GGUUUUAUGGAAUGUACGCAGCGUUUAACGCAAUACAAUACAGACUUUCAGCAACGGAUCUCUUGGCUCUCGCAUCGAUGAAGAACGCAGCGAAAUGCGAUAAGUAAUGUGAAUUGCAGAAUUCAGUGAAUCAUCGAAUCUUUGAACGCACCUUGNGCCCUUUGUNUAUUCAAAAGGGCAUGCCUGUUUGAGUAUCAUGAACACCUCAACUCUCGUGGUUCGCCAUGANGAGCUUGGACUUUGGAGGCUUUGCUGGCCUGUGGUCGGCUCCUCUCAAAUGAAUCAGCUUACCGGUGUAUUGGUGGCGUCACAGGUGUGAUAACUAUCUACGCUUGCGGUCGUCUGCCAUACAACCUCUGGCAUCGUCAGAGGUUUGCCGGGGGCUCAUAACGUCUCCCGAGUGAAGACAGCCUUCUGACGUUUGAUCUCAAAUCAGGUAGGACUACCCGCU
This 451-nucleotide ribosomal RNA is filed under the name uncultured Thelephoraceae. RNAcentral describes it as "eukaryotic LSU rRNA". The stretch from base 43 to 197 matches the Rfam family "5.8S ribosomal RNA". The record is from RNAcentral. Lineage: Eukaryota; Fungi; Basidiomycota; Agaricomycetes; Thelephorales; Thelephoraceae.